GACGAACCGUGCGAACGUUGUUCGGAUUCACUGGGCUUAAAGGGCGCGUAGGCGGGCGACCAAGUCAGGGGUGAAAUCCUCCAGCUUAACUGGAGAACAGCCUCUGAUACUGGCCGUCUGGAGGGAGGUAGGGGCCUGUGGAACUUCUGGUGGAGCGGUGAAAUGCGUAGAUAUCAGAAGGAACGCCGGUGGCGAAAGCGACGGGCUGGACCUCAUCUGACGCUGAGGCGCGAAAGCUAGGGGAGCAAACGGG
Molecule: ribosomal RNA, 253 nt
Filed under: uncultured bacterium
Lineage: Bacteria
Description: partial 16S ribosomal RNA
Rfam family: Bacterial small subunit ribosomal RNA
Source: RNAcentral